This 254-nucleotide ribosomal RNA is filed under the name uncultured bacterium. RNAcentral describes it as "partial 16S ribosomal RNA". It matches the Rfam family "Bacterial small subunit ribosomal RNA", at positions 524 to 776 of the family's 1533-position model. The record is from RNAcentral.
UACGGGGGGAGCAAGCGUUGUUCGGAUUUACUGGGCGUAAAGGGCGCGUAGGCGGCCAGCACAAGUCAGUUGUGAAAUCUCCGAGCUUAACUCGGAACGGUCAACUGAUACUGUGCGGCUAGAGUGCGGAAGGGGCAACUGGAAUUCUUGGUGUAGCGGUGAAAUGCGUAGAUAUCAAGAGGAACACCUGCGGCGAAGGCGGGUUGCUGGGCCGACACCGACGCUGAGGAGCGAAAGCGUGGGGAGCGAACAGG